CAGAUGUAGAACUGAAAAUUUAUCACAGAAUUUGAUCCAUCCUGCAAGGCUCGGAUUUAAAAAUAUCAAGACACCUUUCAGUCAAUUUGCCACACCUGUAUAUCCAGGUUCUUGUCUCCAAAAGAAGAAAACGAAGUAGUAAAAUUCUGUUUCCAAGCCAGUGCUGUUCUUUCCCAAAUGUGAAUGUACUCCUUCAGGCGUGUAAUGCAAGCCUCCCUACUAAGACUAACCAUAUGAAUGUUCGAUUACCCAGGACCUGAAGUAAAACGUGUUAAGAGUUAAUUGUAAAUUUAUUAGCAUUGGCACAGCACAGGAUUUCUUCAUAAAUACUGGCUACAACUGUCUGCCUGAAAUCAUUGUGCUUAUGUGAUUACUAGAAGAGCUUUCCCCGAAAUAAAAAGCAAAUUUGACC
Molecule: long non-coding RNA, 412 nt
Filed under: Rattus norvegicus (Norway rat)
Lineage: Eukaryota; Metazoa; Chordata; Mammalia; Rodentia; Muridae
Description: long non-coding RNA NONRATT031773
Source: RNAcentral